This 465-nucleotide long non-coding RNA is filed under the name Zostera marina. Its description in RNAcentral is "long non-coding RNA (ZMAR_LNC004376)". Lineage: Eukaryota; Viridiplantae; Streptophyta; Magnoliopsida; Alismatales; Zosteraceae. The record is from RNAcentral.
AAGGGUUUAACUGAGACACUUUUUUCUAUAUUAUCUUGGCUAACUAUUGUUAUUCAGAUAUCUUCCGCAUUAGUUUGAAAAAUACGAAAAGAGUCUACUACCCCUUCUAUAGCCUUAGGAUUACGAUUCAACAAAGAUUGCAAUAGGCGUCAAUGAAACAGAUGACCCAUCUACUAGACAAUAUAGUGGAGGACCAUCUAGAAGAUUCAAAGAUGAUAAUGAAGGGGGGUAUUCUGAGGAAGAUGAUUCAUUCAAUUAAACUCUCAUUUGUAUUAAGAUUUAAGACUAAGUACUAAGAUGUAACUCAUUAUGAAGGAAUAACUACUUAGUAAAACGAUAUAUUCUUUAAUCAAAUACCCAAUGUAUUUAUACAAGUUACCAAUAGUCAUAUUAACUAAACUAACCACAACUGAAAUAACCAUUAACUACUCUAUUUUUUUUAACUUCACAAAUCACUAUUUUCUG